RNAcentral lists this ribosomal RNA (531 nucleotides) under uncultured bacterium. RNAcentral's name for it is "bacterial SSU rRNA". It matches the Rfam family "Bacterial small subunit ribosomal RNA", at positions 355 to 895 of the family's 1533-position model. The record is from RNAcentral.
UGGGGAAUAUUGCACAAUGGGCGCAAGCCUGAUGCAGCGACGCCGCGUGAGGGAUGACGGCCUUCGGGUUGUAAACCUCUGUUAGCAGGGAAGAAGAGAAAUUGACGGUACCUGCAGAGAAAGCGCCGGCUAACUACGUGCCAGCAGCCGCGGUAAUACGUAGGGCGCGAGCGUUGUCCGGAAUUAUUGGGCGUAAAGAGCUUGUAGGCGGUUUGUCGCGUCUGCUGUGAAAGGCCGGGGCUUAACCCCGUGUAUUGCAGUGGGUACGGGCAGACUAGAGUGCAGUAGGGGAGACUGGAACUCCUGGUGUAGCGGUGGAAUGCGCAGAUAUCAGGAAGAACACCGAUGGCGAAGGCAGGUCUCUGGGCUGUAACUGACGCUGAGAAGCGAAAGCAUGGGGAGCGAACAGGAUUAGAUACCCUGGUAGUCCAUGCCGUAAACGUUGGGCACUAGGUGUGGGGGACAUUCCACGUUUUCCGCGCCGUAGCUAACGCAUUAAGUGCCCCGCCUGGGGAGUACGGCCGCAAGGCU